RNAcentral lists this ribosomal RNA (453 nucleotides) under uncultured bacterium. RNAcentral describes it as "bacterial SSU rRNA". It matches the Rfam family "Bacterial small subunit ribosomal RNA", at positions 8 to 507 of the family's 1533-position model. The record is from RNAcentral.
AGAGUUUGAUCCUGGCUCAGAACGAACGCUGGCGGCAUGCCUAACACAUGCAAGUCGAACGAGACCUUCGGGUCUAGUGGCGCACGGGUGCGUAACGCGUGGGAAUCUGCCCUUGGGUUCGGAAUAACAGCGAGAAAUUGCUGCUAAUACCGGAUGAUGACGUAAGUCCAAAGAUUUAUCGCCCAAGGAUGAGCCCGCGUAGGAUUAGCUAGUUGGUGAGGUAAAGGCUCACCAAGGCGACGAUCCUUAGCUGGUCUGAGAGGAUGAUCAGCCACACUGGGACAGAGACACGGCCCAGACUCCUACGGGAGGCAGCAGUGGGGAAUAUUGGACAAUGGGCGAAAGCCUGAUCCAGCAAUGCCGCGUGAGUGAUGAAGGCCUUAGGGUUGUAAAGCUCUUUUACCCGGGAUGAUAAUGACAGUACCGGGAGAAUAAGCUCCGGCUAACUCCGUG